This 1017-nucleotide long non-coding RNA is filed under the name Heterocephalus glaber (naked mole-rat). Its description in RNAcentral is "lncRNA (ENSHGLG00100035075.1)". Lineage: Eukaryota; Metazoa; Chordata; Mammalia; Rodentia; Bathyergidae. The record is from RNAcentral.
UCAGCACUCAAGCCCCGCCCAGCUCCUUCAGGCCCGCCCCUUCGCUACAGCGGACGUCACUGCCCGCCCCCUAGGCUACCUAGGGCCAACCCUCCGCCACCAAAGCCCCGCCCCAGACGAUGACCUCAUUGCUGACAUCCCGCCCCCAAGUCUACCACAACUCGCAGCCCGGAAGUCUGCCCCACGGCACCGCCGCCAACCUCAGCACUCAUAGCCCCGCCCCAGUUACUCCCUCACAACUGCGGCCCCGCCCUGUGCCUGAUAAGCCUGAGCUCCUCCCUGACAAGCUGCCCGGCCUCAUCCCGCCUCUUCCUUCUCCUCUGCUUAAUUUCCUCCUGCUACUCCCCCCCAGCUUUCGGAAUCCUGAACCCUGGUGCUGGCCUGAUAGGCCUGCGAGCCACAGGGCCCGCCAAGCCCAAGAGUAUCUACUAGCACGGCUUGGCGGACGUAAGUACGUGUUUACGCAAGUGCGUGUCUUCCUACCCAGAUGCGUACCUGCAUGCCUGUAGGCCUGAUUGGCUGAGCCGACCGCGCUGCUUAAGUGCGUGUGGCGUGCGUACGUAAGUACGUGGGAUGGGCGCUAAUGCCGGUACGUGCCUAUGUAGGCCCCUCCUAAGCGGGCCUACGGAGGGUCUGGGAUGAGGCGGAAGAGUGAUUGCCUGCGAGCUGCGGCUGGCGACCUGGCAUUCCACGCAGGCUACAGCAGGGGCGGCACAGCUGCGACGCGGGCCGGUCGCACUCCGCACAGUCUAGUCGCCUCGCGAAAGCGCCAGAGCCCCUCGUCCAUACUCUGGCGCCGUGGCCGGACGCCGGCAGGAGGAGGACAGUCCUGGCCGCUGCCUGGGGCCUGAGUUGGCGCAAUGCGCAUGCGUGCAGAGACUGCAGCUCCGCCAAGGAUGAGGGCGCUGGUGGCUGUACUGCCCGGGCCGGGCCGUGUGCUCCACCUGCAGCAGAGGGUCCCCUGGGCUGGGCUGCCUUGGUGGCGGAUCCCGCAGGAGGGCGCCCUGCACUGCUCCC